UCCAUUGUGUGAUUUUUAAAACAGCGUUCCUCCACUGACCGCCUUUCCUCAUUCUUUAUUUCCAGCGUCUUCACCAUUUUGUAUCUAUUUUUUUUUUUUUGAAGGGGCCUUGGAGCCAGAGCUGGCCUGCCGCAUUUUAUUUUUAUUGUCCUCAUAAAAUACUGGGCCUGUGAACUCCGCCUGGGGAGCCUGCGGCAUCUGCUGCAGGGCCCACCGAGCUGCAUUUCUGGGUUCUCAUUUCACUCUUGUUCUCUGUAGUCCAGACGAGCGACCCCGCCAGGGUGGUUGGGGAGCUCACCGUCCUAGCAAGGCUGAGCUGCCUUCUGGCUGUUUUGGUCCCCGGAACCCAGCGGGGGCUCUGGACCUGGGCCUUUGAGCAGCUCCCCGAUGGCAGCGUUUCUCGGUUUCCCUCAGAGGAGCUGGUCUGGGGGAGUGGCAGGCCUCCAGGCGAAUGGCCUCUGGUCCUCUCUGGGGUUUUGGUCAGUAGGCUGUCUCCGGACUGUUACAGCCCUGCCGGACCCUGCCCUGCCUGGGCCAGGUGACACCAGCCUGGAGGAGGGACCCUCGAGGUUCUUCGCUGUUCCCAUAAUGGAGUCCAGACCCCCAGCCUGGCCGUACUGGUCCCGGGAGCACGCCCACCACCAGGGGGCUUAGCAGUCUACUAGACUUCGGUGGCUCACCACUGGUCGGCCUGCGCUCUGGUUCCUAGCAUGGCCCCUUUUGUCCCACUGUCCCCACUCCGGCUAGAAUGACCUAAAUGCCACAAGUCUGAUCCAGUCACUCCCGGUUAAAAUCCUUUAGUGAUUCCUGUUUCCUUCCAGGCCCUGCCCCAUCCUUCCACCACUCCCUGGUCCAGUCAGCUUGGAGGUAUGACAUUCCCUGUACUUUUCUUUCAUGCCUUUCUGGACCUCUACAGGCUGUGCCUUCUCCACUUCCUCCCCUCCAUCCAGCGAACUCCUACUCAUCCUUCAAAACCCACUCAUCAGGAGCAGAUGCUUCUCAACCUGUUAUGGUAUUGUAAUCAUGUCUGUCCUGGCGCCUGGUCUGCAAGCUUGAGAAGCAGUAUCACUCGGAGCCCUGACACCUGGUUCCAAUCCCAGUUCUGCUACUCCUCAGCUGUAUGAGAGCAGCAUGCUACCUGACCUCCAUGCUUCAGUGUCUUCAUCUGUAAAACGAAGCUUCCUCUCCCAGGUCCAACCCAACAACGUCUCCAAAUGGGGUGUCGGGGUUGAAGAUGGCCUGCAAAACUGCCUGAUCGUUUAGCGUCCCCAUGGCGCUCAACUCCAAA
This is a long non-coding RNA of Myotis daubentonii (Daubenton's bat), 1288 nucleotides long. RefSeq lists it as uncharacterized. NCBI's taxonomy places the organism in Eukaryota, Metazoa, Chordata, Mammalia, Chiroptera, Vespertilionidae. The record is from RefSeq and is a predicted model, not a curated record.